CAAGCAUCCUUAAAGUCAAUCAAGGGAACCAUUUUGCUGUCGGCAUCAAGUAUUUUUACGAGAAACCAUGGGGGGAAAUACCAAAAUGGCAUAUGGCCAGACCUUUCAGAAGCACCUGCUCUGGACCAGGGUCAGAGGGAACCAUGGGGACACAGGUGGGGGCGAGGGGGGGGGAGGUGGGGGGAUUGCUUAUCCUUCACUCAAAGGCCUGGGGUUCACCUGAGUCCGAAGCUGGCCCUCCCGCAACAGGAGCCUCUCCUCACGGAAGUGGAAGGUGUUAAAGGCGUAGAAGUGAAAACCGUGUGGGAAGAAAGUGAAAAGCACCCUAGAAGCAACAGGGCCGCCCGUUUGCGCAAACGCUGUCUGUGGCCAUUUUUUCAAGCACUUAUGAUAAACUUGCUAAACGAAGAUAAAUAGAUGAACUGCUUUAAAACCUGUGGCUUAAGCUUUCGGGGCACCACGGGCCGGGAAGGGCCCUGCCUGUGCCCUGUGGCUCCCUCGGCCAGCCCGGGGGGCUCGGACCCGGGAUCUGUGUGCCCCAAAUACCGGGCCUUCCAACCAGAGCUGCGGUGCCCUCACGAGGCAUUUCUGAAACCCAGCCAAGAACCAGAAAUUACAGAGUUAAAAAGCACACAGCUUAAAGAAGGAGCGGAUUCAGAUUCUCAUUUACUAAAAUUAGUCCAAUGACAAAGUAGGCGGCUUCUACGCCCUUUUCUCUUACUCAUCAAAGUGAUUAAGCUUCACACAGACCCUACAGACGGGAUUCUUUGUCCCAUAUUCCAGUCACAAAAGACAAUGGGCUACAGAUGGAAGAACCCAGAUUUUGUAGAGCCUGAAACCCUGAGGGCGAAGGCCCCCAGCAUGUGGGCGGCACCCCGCGGGCUGACCGUGCUGUUCUGACUCCCCGCUGAGGGUGUCUUUGUCGCGGGCUCUGACGUCCGCGGGUACAGCGGAGCAGCAGGGCGCGCAGGGCGGUUAUGCCUUCACCGACACACACCCUAAAAGCCAGGCCCGGAUCUAUUCUCAGCUCAAGCUUAUUCCGCCAAAGGCUUAUUACCCCGACCGACCUGCAGCCUGAGCCCCCACAGAUGCGCCACCACGCCCUCCAGAGUCCUGCCCGGAGCAGAGACGUGUGACGCCAGGCGUGGUCACCUCACCCAGGACCCACCCCCACUGAGAUCUGGGUGCGGGGGCCUGCGGGACAGAGGAGCCCUUGGCAGAUACAGCCCUGGGGGCGGGGCCCUGCUGGGGGCCGGGGAGGGCCUGGUGCAAGGGUGUGUGCAGCCGCCCAGGGUAGGGGACACAGCACCACAGUGAUCUGAAGGGUGACCACCCCACCCCACCCCCGCCAAGAAAUGUUCCGGGUCAGUCAAGACGUGAGACACGUCCUCCAGUCGCCGCGCAAGCGACUGCCCAGCAGUCCAAAGCAUUCAUGCUGGACGUGCCAGGAAGUCACCGAGGCGCGGGCUCGCUGCGGGGACAGCCCUGGCCCAGUGGCACCUGCUCUCCGUGCCGGCUAACAGACACCGCCAGCCGAGCGCGCGAGGGCUUCGGAUGGAGUCUGCCUCUGCAGACGACCGGGGACUCAGCGAGACAGGGGCCAUCAGGGGACCGUGAGGCGCGACGCCCCGGACCAGAGCGGAAGCACAGAAGUGGCGAGAACUGGCUGGACUGGCACUUAUACAAAGCUGGAACGGGAUCUGGGGAGCUGGAUGCAGAAAGACAAGACUUCAUGUUUCAGCCCGGGGCCCUUGGGUGAGGACCCAGAGCCGCCCCCUGGCCUCGUGCGCGGCAGCCCCGCCGGGAGCCCGGCAGUGGCUUGUGUCAGAUGCUCCGCGUUCUUGACCUGAUGUUGGUUACACUGGAGUUUCUAUGGAGAUGAAAGACGCCGGGCACGGUCUGCAGCACUUCCAGGAGUGACCCAAGGUGUCCGCGCCCCCACGCGCCCCCUGCCCCCACCCUAGCCCCGGGCAGAUGGCGCAGUCACGAGGGUCAUCGGCGCCAGGUGUCGGUCACCAGUGCAGCGGGACUCUCGGCAGAUCCCGAGCUCCUCCUCGCACUGACCCCCACCCUGGUGGCUGCUCGCUGUGGGGGUGACCGCGGCAGGCAAAGUGCACGGCUAUGGGAGGUGGUGGCCGAGGGGGCUCUGCAGGGCUGCAGCGAGGAAGGCUGUCUGGCCCUGGCCCCAGAACCCUAGAAUCGGGCUUUUCCGGGAAAACCAGAGACAGCCUUGGCUCUGAGGCCCCUGAAGUGGCCAAUGCUGCUCACAGGGGGCCCCCCGGCCCGGAGAGAAGGGAGACAAGGCCCUGAUCUUCCUGUGCUGUCCGCACCAUGACCUGUCCUUCCCUUCCCCACCGCCCCCCCACCCCCAACGGCUUCAUCUGUCCCGCGAUGGACAUGCACAGGUGGCCCACCGUGCCCCUGGAUCUGGACCCUACCGGGAGGGGACAGCACAGUCCCUCAUUUCCUCAGCAGCCUAGCCAACCAGUGGGGCCAGCACCCAGAUCCCGCCCUCAUAAACGGAGGCCCUGGCAGCCACUGGUGCUGACGGAGACGCUGUAGGGGAGAGAUGGGCCAGGCUCCCGUGCAGGGGGAGGUGGGCCAGGGGUCCCCAUUAACUGGAAGAAGAAAACCGAGAUAGAACGAAGUUUGUGGAAGUAAAGAAAUCUCCCCGGUGUUAGUUCCUAGGGCUCCCCAGGUCGGAUCGGACACAGGCUGGACCCCACCCCCACCCCCACUUUCUGUGGAGUCAGGCCGUCCAGACAGGGGCCCAGCACCACACUGGGUGCCCUCGGCCUCCGUUCACACCAGCUGUUCACCUCUGUGGAAAGGCCGAGCAGGGCACAGGUCCCCCCGGUGCGGACUGACCUCAUCGUAGCGGUACAUCAGCUUCAGCCCUCGACAGGACUUCUGCUUCUCCACGUGGCGCAGAGCACACUCCAGGCAGAAAACCACGUUCUCGUUCUCCUGCACGACCUGUGGGAACAGCGGCGGCCGGUCCUGAGGUGCGGAAGCCAUCGGGCCCCCCCCACCCCCCCGAGGGAGCAGGGGCAACUCAGGGAGGCCCGACCCCGGCUAAAGUCCCCUCCCGAUCUCUGCUGCCCCUUCCCAGGAGGGGUUCUCGCCAGCGACAGGCUGGAGGAGACAGGAUGAGACCGUGGUGCCGCUGAUAAGCUCUCAGGCACUGGGCCUUCCGGGACCCUGUGCACACAAACCACCUGGGGAGAAGAUGUGGCAGGGUGACCGGGAAACGCACCCCGAACAUUUCAGCGGCGUGAUCGAUUCUGCUGGUUACCCAGAGGCUGCCCCCCCGCACGCCCCUGGGAGACCCGAUGCCUCUGCCCGAACCUGCCCCGAAACUCCAACUGCCUCCUGGGUGAUCUGCAAGUCGGACAGGCCCCGACCCCCUGCCAGCCUGUGGGAAAGCCUCUGGCAGCGGGAAGCGCACACCAGGGCCUGGGGCCCAGGGUCCCUGUAGGCAGCACAGGGCCUGAUCCGCCACAGACAUGAAGACUUGGGGGUGGGGAGGGUGCAGAGGGACAGCUGGUUUGCAUGGGGGCCCUCCCCCUGUCCCCGUCCCCCCAACUUCUAGUCCUGGUCUCAUUUAGAAGGAAAUUCGGGAAAAUGCUGCCUUCACACACAAGACGCGAGAGGUUCACAGGCCUUUUCAUGAAGACUGAGGAGAAACAGCCAGCCGCGGGAGUAAGGAACUGACACUUAAGGGAAGAAACCCAUCGCCUUUUAAAGACACUCAGGCUCAGGACAGGAAUAAGCAAAAGGAGGAAACCAUAAACAAAAAUACAAUCUUAUUACUAAUCCAAGCACUGAAAGUUGUGAAUCAAAAUAAAAUCUCAAUUUUUACCUAUGAAUUCAGGAUGAUACAAGCUUUCUUUUCUAAGUAACUUAAUAUUAAGUUUUUUAUUUAUGUGAGAGAGAGAGAGAGAGAGAGAGAGAGAGAGAGAGAGAGAAAGCAAGCGUGAGCAGGGGAGGGGGCAGAGAGAAGAGAGAAAAAGGAGACAGGAUCCCAAUCAGGCUCCACAUGGUCAGCACAGGGCCCUACUUGGGACUCGAACUCAGAAACCGUGAGACCAUGACCUGAGCCGAAAGCGAGAAUCAGAUGCUUACGGAGGCACUGCAACGUAGGCUUUCUUAAAACAACAGUCAGGCUGCUAGGAAAUGCCUAGUGACAGCCUGAAAACAAACCCACGGGAACAGGCCAGUGCCCCGCACGGAGGUCGUGACAGUGCUGUUCAUGGUCGUGGGAAGUAACGGGACACUUUCCCACGGGCGUAACUGCGUUCCAACACAAGAGGGACGCCCACGGGACUAUGUGGCUUUUAUGAGCCAAGCUCACAAAGCAUUUUUAAGACCCGGGGAAAUGCUUAUGCUUUUCUUUCUCUCAGAGAGCAUGGCUCUUGAUUUUCUCUCUUUAGAAACACCUUGGAAAAGAAAAACUAAGGCGGAAGAAAACACAGAUCUUGCUGGACUUCUAAGAGGGCUACACCCGGAUCGAGCCGCUGAGAGCUGAAAACCUCCUAAAGCUGAAACUGCACGUUAGGCAGCUAACCUCCCGGACAGCACAGCUCGGCCGGGCCCCCCUGACGCGUGCUCCCGACAGCAGUCUACGCUGGGCCAAGUUCCGCAGCACAAAGCCUAUGUGACAAGACACCGCUGACUGUCCCGUGUGACUGCUUAAACGCCGUGCUGAACGUGAGGCCAGAAGGGCUGCAUGGGGCAGAGCUGUUGCGAGAGAAUCGGCCAUUCAGCCUCGUGACUGCAGAGCUGGCUGGGAGCCGCGGUCACCGCUGCUCUGCGUCACACGGGGGACCCCGUGGCACAUCGCGGGGGGGUGAGGGCGCGGCUCUAAAGUAAAAAUCCGAGUACAGUUUCCACUAAAUGCCUACCAGCUUUGGACCAUCGUAAAGUGGAAACGUCCUAAGUUGGGAAGCAUCCGUGUGCACGUGUGUGGCCGCCGUGGAUGCCACUCUAUCCCCCCAACUCCCCGCGCCCCCAAUCAGCCUUUGGACUCCAUGGGAGCAGCUGGGGGUCCCCCACCUCUGCAGGGCACCCGGCCGAGGGCUGGGGGACACGGGGUGAGGCGGCAUCCUCCAGGCACGAGGCCAGGCGGGGGACAGGGGUGUGCCUGAUGCCCCGUGCCUCGGCGACCACGUGGGACGUCAGUGCCACGGCGGGUGUGAGGACACUAAGCUCCAGUCACUGGAGGGCCGUGGGCACCAGGCAGAGGUGCACGGUGUCUGGACAGCCCUGUGUGGGGGCGGCCACCCCGACGGACCACACCAGCCCGGCGGCCAUUCCCCUGAGGUGUCCGAGCCCCGCUCUGGCCUGGGACGGCCGUGGGGAGACACAGUGACCGCACGAACACGGCUAAGCCCAGGGCUGGGCGGGCCGGGGACACCGGCGGGGACUCUGUGGAAGCCAGCGAGGACGAAAGCGGGGCGGACGACCGCAGGAGCAGCAGCUUCCGCCAGAGGCCAGGAGGCUGGAAGCAGGGCUGCUCCGCUGCGGGGACUGUCCGUUCUGACCCAAGACAGCCCCAACUCCGCAGGGCAGCGCACUGGACCCUGACCCCGAGGCAAGAGCCGAGGACGCGCGGGGCCCAGGC
This is a long non-coding RNA of Neofelis nebulosa (Clouded leopard), 5623 nucleotides long. RefSeq lists it as uncharacterized. Lineage: Eukaryota; Metazoa; Chordata; Mammalia; Carnivora; Felidae. The transcript is spliced from 3 exons. The record is from RefSeq and is a predicted model, not a curated record.